GGAUUGUGGCUCAGUGGUGGAGCACUUGCCUAGCAAGUGUGAGGAACUGGGUUCGAUUCUCAGCACCA
RNAcentral lists this transfer RNA (68 nucleotides) under Marmota monax (woodchuck). RNAcentral describes it as "tRNA.Ala". The stretch from base 5 to 65 matches the Rfam family "tRNA", at positions 6 to 65 of the family's 71-position model. Rfam says of the family: Transfer RNA (tRNA) molecules are approximately 80 nucleotides in length. Their secondary structure includes four short double-helical elements and three loops (D, anti-codon, and T loops). Further hydrogen bonds mediate the characteristic L-shaped molecular structure. tRNAs have two regions of fundamental functional importance: the anti-codon, which is responsible for specific mRNA codon recognition, and the 3' end, to which the tRNAs corresponding amino acid is attached (by aminoacyl-tRNA synthetases). tRNAs cope with the degeneracy of the genetic code in two manners: having more than one tRNA (with a specific anti-codon) for a particular amino acid; and 'wobble' base-pairing, i.e. permitting non-standard base-pairing at the 3rd anti-codon position. Lineage: Eukaryota; Metazoa; Chordata; Mammalia; Rodentia; Sciuridae. The record is from RNAcentral.